RNAcentral lists this ribosomal RNA (564 nucleotides) under uncultured Photobacterium sp. Its description in RNAcentral is "bacterial SSU rRNA". It matches the Rfam family "Bacterial small subunit ribosomal RNA", at positions 61 to 611 of the family's 1533-position model. Lineage: Bacteria; Pseudomonadati; Pseudomonadota; Gammaproteobacteria; Vibrionales; Vibrionaceae. The record is from RNAcentral.
GGCAGCGACUUAACUGAACCUUCGGGGGACGUUAAGGGCGGCGAGCGGCGGACGGGUGAGUAAUGCCUGGGAAUAUGCCCUGAUGUGGGGGAUAACUAUUGGAAACGAUAGCUAAUACCGCAUAAUCUCUUCGGAGCAAAGAGGGGGACCUUCGGGCCUCUCGCGUCAGGAUUAGCCCAGGUGGGAUUAGCUUGUUGGUGAGGUAAUGGCUCACCAAGGCAACGAUCCCUAGCUGGUCUGAGAGGAUGAUCAGCCACACUGGAACUGAGACACGGUCCAGACUCCUACGGGAGGCAGCAGUGGGGAAUAUUGCACAAUGGGGGAAACCCUGAUGCAGCCAUGCCGCGUGUGUGAAGAAGGCCUUCGGGUUGUAAAGCACUUUCAGUAGGGAGGAAGGUAGUGUAGUUAACACCUGCACUAUUUGACGUUACCUACAGAAGAAGCACCGGCUAACUCCGUGCCAGCAGCCGCGGUAAUACGGAGGGUGCGAGCGUUAAUCGGAAUUACUGGGCGUAAAGCGCAUGCAGGCGGCCUGUUAAGUCAGAUGUGAAAGCCCGGGGCUUA